This 460-nucleotide ribosomal RNA is filed under the name uncultured bacterium. Its description in RNAcentral is "partial 16S ribosomal RNA". It matches the Rfam family "Bacterial small subunit ribosomal RNA", at positions 338 to 795 of the family's 1533-position model. The record is from RNAcentral.
CCUACGGGAGGCAGCAGUGAGGAAUAUUGGUCAAUGGACGAGAGUCUGAACCAGCCAAGUAGCGUGAAGGAUGACUGCCCUAUGGGUUGUAAACUUCUUUUAUAUGGGAAUAAAAUGUUCCACGUGUGGGCUUUUGUAUGUACCAUAUGAAUAAGGACUGGCUAACUCCGUGCCAGCAGCCGCGGUAAUACGGAGGAUCCGAGCGUUAUCCGGAUUUAUUGGGUUUAAAGGGGGCGUAGGUGGAUUGUUAAGUCAGUUGUGAAAGUUUGCGGCUCAACCGUAAAAUUGCAGUUGAAACUGGCAGUCUUGAGUACAGUAGAGGUGGGCGGAAUUCGUGGUGUAGCGGUGAAAUGCUUAGAUAUCACGAAGAACUCCGAUUGCGAAGGCAGCUCACUGGACUGCAACUGACACUGAGGCUCGAAAGUGUGGGUAUCAAACAGGAUUAGAUACCCGAGUAGUC